AACGGCCGCGGUAUAUUGACCGUGCAAAGGUAGCAUAAUCAUUAGUCUUUUAAUAGGAGACUGGUAUGAAGGGUUCAACGAAAUACUAACUGUCUCAAUUUAACUUAUUAUAAUUUGAUUUUUGAGUCAAAAAGCUUAAAUUUAAUUGAAGGACGAGAAGACCCUAUAGAGCUUUAUAAUUAGUAUUAAUAGUUAUUUUUAUUUUAUUUUUAUUGUAUUAAUAUUAAUUUUUUUGUUGGGGUGACAACAAAUAUAUGAAUAACUUUUUUAUUUACUGAUCAUUAAUUUAUGUUUAAUAGAUCCUUUACUAUUGAUUAUUAGAGUAAGUUACCUUAGGGAUAACAGCGUAAUCUUCCUUCCGAGUUCAUAUUUACAGGGAGGGUUGCGACCUCGAUGUUGGAUUA
RNAcentral lists this ribosomal RNA (404 nucleotides) under Hetaerina americana (American ruby spot damselfly). RNAcentral's name for it is "partial 16S ribosomal RNA". It matches the Rfam family "Bacterial large subunit ribosomal RNA", at positions 1926 to 2539 of the family's 2925-position model. The record is from RNAcentral. Lineage: Eukaryota; Metazoa; Arthropoda; Insecta; Odonata; Calopterygidae.